AAAACGACUCUCGGCAACGGAUAUCUCGGCUCUCGCAUCGAUGAAGAACGUAGCGAAAUGCGAUACUUGGUGUGAAUUGCAGAAUCCCGUGAACCAUCGAGUCUUUGAACGCAAGUUGCGCCCCAAGUCUUCUGGCCGAGGGCACGUCUGCCUGGGUGUCACAA
This 164-nucleotide ribosomal RNA is filed under the name Arabidopsis thaliana (thale cress). Its description in RNAcentral is "5.8S ribosomal RNA". It matches the Rfam family "5.8S ribosomal RNA". From Rfam's summary of the family: 5.8S ribosomal RNA (5.8S rRNA) is a component of the large subunit of the eukaryotic ribosome. The record is from RNAcentral. Lineage: Eukaryota; Viridiplantae; Streptophyta; Magnoliopsida; Brassicales; Brassicaceae.